Long non-coding RNA from Scophthalmus maximus (turbot), 857 nucleotides. RefSeq lists it as uncharacterized. The transcript has 3 exons. NCBI's taxonomy places the organism in Eukaryota, Metazoa, Chordata, Actinopteri, Pleuronectiformes, Scophthalmidae. The record is from RefSeq and is a predicted model, not a curated record.
UGCUUUGCAAUAGUCAGCGCGAAGAGAAAUGAACAGUGUUUUAUCGUGUUUCCAACUCACGCGCCCGCGUGUCGUGUGGGUUGAGAGUGUGUAAAUAACACGCACACGCUUCUCGGCGUCUCUCGUGAGACCCACCACCGUGUGUCAGAAGGUGCACGCAGAGUCCAACUAUAAGUACCCGGACACGGCCUCGCUUCACACGGUUGGUCCGAUGGCAGUGAGAUUUCAAUUGAUUGCUACACUCCACAGUUUGCAAACAGCAACACAAAUCCAGUGUAAACCGCUGGAAAGAAGCAUGGAGUUGAUGGAGCAACAGCAACGUCUGGAUGCGACGUCACAACAAGCAUAGACCAAGUCUGCUUCUGCUGAUACCGAGACACUCGAUGGAAGAACAUUCGUUUAAUCAAUUGUCAAUUAACCAUCACUUUGGAUGAUUUAGAAAUGAAUAGCCUUAGUUUGUGAAGUCAGCCCUUUCUCACAGCCAAAUCCUGGGGAAAUCCUAUCUGUUGUGUGUGGUUCACAGUUCUCUGUGGCUCAUCAUGUGCACUGGUCAGGGCACAAUCACCACAAAAACGGUCCAUUUCUUAACAGAGCUACGUCAGUUUCUCGUACAUGUACAAUGCCCAUAAUCAUUUCAAAGUAAAAAUGUUAUUCCAACAAUAUUAGCAAUAUGUGCCUUAGUGUAUUAAUUUGUUUUACUGAAAAUUGCAAAUCUGAAAGGCUGCAAGUUGAAACCUCAUAUCUUCUAUGAAAGAAGUGUUUUGGUUUAAGUCUGUAGUUCGCAAGUAAAUGUUCAGGUGAGCAGUCACCAGCUGACAUCUCCUUCUCAAAAGGUCAAAGGUGAAAAUAGGCACAAA